GUGAAUCAUCAAAUUUUUGAACGCAAAUUGCACUCUCUGGUAUUCCGGAGAGUAUGCCUGUUUGAGGGUCAGUUUAAAUAAAAAUCGGUGGGGUUGUUGCCUUUCGUGGUGAUGAACGGGGUUUGGGUGGUGUUGCUUUGGGUUAAUGGACUUAAAAUUUGUGUGGUUUUUUUUCGAAGGUUUUAAAAUGAUUUUAGUUAGGUUUCGGUAAUGGAAUACU
This 220-nucleotide unclassified non-coding RNA is filed under the name Glomerales sp. RNAcentral's name for it is "partial contains 5.8S ribosomal RNA and internal transcribed spacer 2". The stretch from base 1 to 71 matches the Rfam family "5.8S ribosomal RNA", at positions 84 to 154 of the family's 154-position model. Lineage: Eukaryota; Fungi; Glomeromycota; Glomeromycetes; Glomerales; Glomeraceae. The record is from RNAcentral.